AGUCGAGCGAACGGACGAGAAGCUUGCUUCUCUGAUGUUAGCGGCGGACGGGUGAGUAACACGUGGAUAACCUACCUAUAAGACUGGGAUAACUUCGGGAAACCGGAGCUAAUACCGGAUAAUAUUUUGAACCGCAUGGUUCAAAAGUGAAAGACGGUCUUGCUGUCACUUAUAGAUGGAUCCGCGCUGCAUUAGCUAGUUGGUAAGGUAACGGCUUACCAAGGCAACGAUGCAUAGCCGACCUGAGAGGGUGAUCGGCCACACUGGAACUGAGACACGGUCCAGACUCCUACGGGAGGCAGCAGUAGGGAAUCUUCCGCAAUGGGCGAAAGCCUGACGGAGCAACGCCGCGUGAGUGAUGAAGGUCUUCGGAUCGUAAAACUCUGUUAUUAGGGAAGAACAUAUGUGUAAGUAACUGUGCACAUCUUGACGGUACCUAAUCAGAAAGCCACGGCUAACUACGUGCCAG
RNAcentral lists this ribosomal RNA (469 nucleotides) under Staphylococcus aureus. RNAcentral describes it as "bacterial SSU rRNA". It matches the Rfam family "Bacterial small subunit ribosomal RNA", at positions 60 to 511 of the family's 1533-position model. Lineage: Bacteria; Bacillati; Bacillota; Bacilli; Caryophanales; Staphylococcaceae. The record is from RNAcentral.